GACGUAGGGCGCGAGCGUUGUCCGGAUUUAUUGGGCGUAAGGAGCUCGUAGGCGGCUUGUCGCGUCGACCGUGAAAACUUGGGGCUCAACCCCAAGCCUGCGGUCGAUACGGGCAGGCUAGAGUUCGGUAGGGGAGACUGGAAUUCCUGGUGUAGCGGUGAAAUGCGCAGAUAUCAGGAGGAACACCGAUGGCGAAGGCAGGUCUCUGGGCCGAUACUGACGCUGAGGAGCGAAAGCGUGGGGAGCGAACAGG
This 253-nucleotide ribosomal RNA is filed under the name uncultured bacterium. RNAcentral's name for it is "partial 16S ribosomal RNA". It matches the Rfam family "Bacterial small subunit ribosomal RNA", at positions 524 to 776 of the family's 1533-position model. The record is from RNAcentral.